Molecule: ribosomal RNA, 261 nt
Filed under: uncultured archaeon
Lineage: Archaea
Description: partial 16S ribosomal RNA
Rfam family: Archaeal small subunit ribosomal RNA
Source: RNAcentral
CAGCUGUAAACGAUGCAGGCUAGGUGUUUGGACGGCCACGUGCCGUUCUAGUGCCGCAGGGAAGCUGUUAAGCCUGCCGCCUGGGGAGUACGAUCGCAAGAUUGAAACUUAAAGGAAUUGGCGGGGGAGCACCACAAGGGGUGAAGCUUGCGGUUUAAUUGGAGUCAACGCCGGAAAACUCACCAGGGAAGACUGUUACAUGAAGGCCGAGAUGAAGACUCUGCUAGAUUUUCAGAGAGGAGGUGCAUGGCGUCAGUGACU